This 83-nucleotide small RNA is filed under the name Marmota monax (woodchuck). The record is from RNAcentral. Lineage: Eukaryota; Metazoa; Chordata; Mammalia; Rodentia; Sciuridae.
GCCAGGCAUGGUGGCGUAGGCCUGUAAUCCCAGUGACUUGGGAGGCCGAGGCAGGAGGACUGCAGGUCUGAAGCUAGCCUCAG